This 192-nucleotide unclassified non-coding RNA is filed under the name uncultured Helvellaceae. Its description in RNAcentral is "sequence contains ITS2". The record is from RNAcentral. Lineage: Eukaryota; Fungi; Ascomycota; Pezizomycetes; Pezizales; Helvellaceae.
UGGACGAAUGGUCGCGCGAGUGAAAGCGCGGUGUUGGCGCCGGUGGCGAGCCAGACGCGGCGGCCACCGCGCCGGAAUCCAUGGGCGGACGCCCUCCGCGUGCCCGAGCGUGAUGUGACCCUACUGUCGCUCGAGCGCGGAGAGGCCCCCGGCCCUCGGCCCGUCUGUCGGGCGGGGCGUAGCAACUUAUUG